UGACUUCAUUGCAUAAUGCAGUAGCAACUGGAUUUGCAGCAGAAACACCCUGCUAAAGAACAAGUAUCUUGGUUUACAGCAAAGAGGACAAAGGAAAACAGCAAGUUCUAGGGGGUUGAAGGCUGGAUUAAUUCCCAAGAAAUGAAUCAAACUGUCAGUGAGACUCUGCUCUAACAAUCAUUAUACAGUUUCUACAGGCAGAUAUCCUGGAGGUUUCCAAAUGCUACUGUUGCUGGGGAAAUGUCAUUGUUAGAGAAUAGAAAACUAUUAUUCCAAAGAGGACCGAAGACUGACUGAAUCAGGUCUGGAACAUUAUUGAAAUGCUCUUCUGACAACCUCAUCUUUCAAGAUUCAGCUUAGUCUCUGCUCAGCGCACGACUUCUCUGAUUGAUUCAGAUAGGAGAUGGUGACCUUCCCUCUAGCCUACCACGACUCUUUGUAAACACUGCAGUUACAGCGUGUUCUGCAAUUUGGUGAAAUUCUUGUCUACAUUGCCAUUUCUCCACCUAGACUGAAAGCUCUUUGAGAGUAGCAGUCUUCUCACCAGCACCUGGUUCAAUGCAUAACAGGGCUCAGCCUCCUCCAUCAUCCUGCUUUUAUGGAGUUUUUGCUAUUACGGAGUUUCUGGCCACAGGGGAGAAACCAUUCAGCCUGGAGCCAUCUAUCUCCUGCCUCCGUAGGAGUCUCCUCUAGAGAUAUCAGAAGCUUCAUGAUAAGAGCUUCAACCUUCUGACCUGCUGAUGUAGUUGAUUCUGAGCAUGAGAUGUCUCACUUUCCUCCAAAUCAUUCCCUUUGUACUCAUGGCUCCCCUAAAAUAAGAAGAAGAAGCACCAUGUCUCCCCUAAGACUUAGUAACACAGGCUGAUGGCAGAAACAGCAUUGUGCAGUGGUUGAACACACAGUCUCCAAAGCCAGAAUGCUUAGGUCUGAAUCUUGCUCUGCCAUUGACAACUUCAAUCAAAGGGAGACUUCUAGGUUUAUUGAAUGGAACCUCUGCUUCUAUAUCCUCCACUAAGAGACAACAUUAGGGUCAUAAGAAGACCUUCACAAUUAUCACUUUUCAAGCUGUAAAUGGUCAAAGUAAAAUCUCUAAGGAUCAGGAAGUGUCAACAGAGUCUGGGGCUUCAUGGUUCUGGUUACUGAG
This is a non-coding RNA of Odocoileus virginianus texanus, 1144 nucleotides long. The record is from RefSeq and is a predicted model, not a curated record. NCBI's taxonomy places the organism in Eukaryota, Metazoa, Chordata, Mammalia, Artiodactyla, Cervidae.